GAACGAUGAAGCCCAGCUUGCUGGGUGGAUUAGUGGCGAACGGGUGAGUAACACGUGAGUAACCUGCCCCUGACUUUGGGAUAAGCCCGGGAAACUGGGUCUAAUACCGGAUAUGACUAUGGAACGCAUGUUUUGUGGUUGAAAGAUUUAUCGGUGAGGGAUGGACUCGCGGCCUAUCAGCUUGUUGGUGAGGUAAUGGCUCACCAAGGCGACGACGGGUAGCCGGCCUGAGAGGGUGACCGGCCACACUGGGACUGAGACACGGCCCAGACUCCUACGGGAGGCAGCAGUGGGGAAUAUUGCACAAUGGGCGGAAGCCUGAUGCAGCGACGCCGCGUGAGGGAUGACGGCCUUCGGGUUGUAAACCUCUUUCAGUAGGGAAGAAGCGAAAGUGACGGUACCUGCAGAAGAAGCGCCGGCUAACUACGUGCCAGCAGCCGCGGUAAUACGUAGGGCGCAAGCGUUAUCCGGAUUUAUUGGGCGUAAAGAGCUCGUAGGCGGUUUGUCGCGUCUGCCGUGAAAGUCCGAGGCUCAACCUCGGAUCUGCGGUGGGUACGGGCAGACUAGAGUGAUGUAGGGGAGACUGGAAUUCCUGGUGUAGCGGUGAAAUGCGCAGAUAUCAGGAGGAACACCGAUGGCGAAGGCAGGUCUCUGGGCAUUUACUGACGCUGAGGAGCGAAAGCAUGGGGAGCGAACAGGAUUAGAUACCCUGGUAGUCCAUGCCGUAAACGUUGGGCACUAGGUGUGGGGGACAUUC
This 757-nucleotide ribosomal RNA is filed under the name Arthrobacter sp. PhIn1. RNAcentral's name for it is "bacterial SSU rRNA". It matches the Rfam family "Bacterial small subunit ribosomal RNA", at positions 64 to 834 of the family's 1533-position model. Lineage: Bacteria; Bacillati; Actinomycetota; Actinomycetes; Micrococcales; Micrococcaceae. The record is from RNAcentral.